GAGGGUAGAGCUCAAUAGUAGAGCACAUGCUUAGCAUGCAUAAAGUCCUGGGUUCAAUCCCCAGUGCCUCCA
This 72-nucleotide transfer RNA is filed under the name Camelus bactrianus (Bactrian camel). It matches the Rfam family "tRNA". From Rfam's summary of the family: Transfer RNA (tRNA) molecules are approximately 80 nucleotides in length. Their secondary structure includes four short double-helical elements and three loops (D, anti-codon, and T loops). Lineage: Eukaryota; Metazoa; Chordata; Mammalia; Artiodactyla; Camelidae. The record is from Rfam by way of RNAcentral. RNAcentral also lists the same sequence under 1 other name.